Molecule: unclassified non-coding RNA, 337 nt
Filed under: soil metagenome
Description: partial contains 5.8S ribosomal RNA, internal transcribed spacer 2, and large subunit ribosomal RNA
Rfam family: 5.8S ribosomal RNA (bases 1-120)
Source: RNAcentral
GAUGAAGAACGCAGCGAAAUGCGAUAAGUAGUGUGAAUUGCAGAAUUCAGUGAAUCAUCGAAUCUUUGAACGCACAUUGCGCCCCUUGGUAUUCCAUGGGGCAUGCCUGUUCGAGCGUCAUUUGUACCUUCAAGCUCUGCUUGUUGUUGGGUGUUUGUCUCGCCUCUGCGUGUAGACUCGCCUCAAAACAAUUGGCAGCCGGCGUAUUGAUUUCGGAGCGCAGUACAUCUCGCGCUUUGCACUCAUAACGACGACGUCCAAAAGUACAUUUUUACACUCUUGACCUCGGAUCAGGUAGGGAUACCCGCUGAACUUAAGCAUAUCAAUAAGCGGAGGA